CAGGAAGUGGGGAAACCCGUCUCCGCUCCCUGCCCCAGAGUAACAGUCCCCAUCCUUCUUGGGUGCCCAUCCCCGUGCCUGUUCUCCCAGAUCCCCACCCAAUGGACGUGACAGACUCGUGGCUCAAUCCCCUUCCUGGUUCCCAGGCCGACUGCUAGCACCACCCGAGCCAAUGGCUCCGGCCGAGGGGCGGAGGGGGCUGGGAAGAGGGGAGAGAGUGCUGGCUUUAGAACCACUACCGCAAAGAUUCUGAGCGGCGGAAGUUGUCUGAGCGCUUUGGUUGGAUGUGGUGAGGCCAGCUCCCGGACUCUGCGACUUUACUAUAAAGGAAGACAAUAUGCAAGUGUGGAAAAGUGCAUAAUGGAAAGAAAAGAGAGUUGAGAGAUGAAUUUAAAGUGUUGCUCCUAACGACUAAAAAUGGUACAACCACGAAUUCUCAGUAUCAGCCCAAAGGAAUAUCCUCGCAAUUCAACUUUCAAGUGCUGAGUAAUCAGACUAAACUUUCACUCAAUGAGAGAUUCUCAAAGCUGAAAAUUAAGGAAACACCAGAAUCAGUCAUUCCCUGAAGACCAAAAGAUCUACUUAAAUGUUUGUUGUUAACAGAAAGAUUGUAGUGAGUUAUAUUCAAGAGCAAUAACUUCUUACUGACCUUAUUAAAGUAUUUCUCUUAUAUGUUUCUUUUUUUAAGUUUUCUUUCCGUACCUAAUCUUUAGAAACCUUAUAUAAGUUUUAAUAUGAGUAAUGUGUCAAAACUAAGCAUUGAUGUGGAAGAAAAACUAGUUUUAUUUGCAUAAAAGAACAGGAAAGUGAGCAGGAAAGAAGGUAAUUUUGAAUUUUAGAAAAACCGAAGUAUAUGUCUUUUCAACAUUAGAGAAUUUGUUUCCUUGGUUUAAUUUGUUCUUUGAACUCCAGAACUUACAUUUGAGUCCUAAGAAAGCUCCUUUUCAUCAGUAUAGCAAAACAAAUUACAUGACUUUUAUGACUAAAUAUUCUGUGCUUCAAAAUUCACUUAGUAAGAAUGAAUUGUAGUAUGUGAUUAUUAAAAUGCUAAAUUUCUAUCCUGCCUUUUAUAGUUUUUCUAAGAAUUAUGUGCUUUCACUUUUGACAUGAAUUUAUAGCAGUUUUAAAUUCUUCUGUCAGUUUUUGUGAACACAUUAAAUAAAUAAA
Molecule: long non-coding RNA, 1167 nt
Organism: Nycticebus coucang (slow loris)
Lineage: Eukaryota; Metazoa; Chordata; Mammalia; Primates; Lorisidae
Exons: 4
Source: RefSeq, a predicted model, not a curated record